This 600-nucleotide ribosomal RNA is filed under the name uncultured fungus. RNAcentral describes it as "eukaryotic LSU rRNA". It matches the Rfam family "Eukaryotic large subunit ribosomal RNA", at positions 1 to 600 of the family's 3401-position model. The record is from RNAcentral. Lineage: Eukaryota; Fungi.
UUGACCUCAGAUCAGGUAGGACUACCGCCUGAACUUAAGCAUAUCAAUAAGGCGAGGAACAGAAACCAACAGGGAUUCCCCUAGUAGUGGCGAAUGAAGCGGGAAAAGCUCAAGUUUGAAAUCUGGUGGGCUCGUCCCCUCAGAGUUGUAAGCUGAAGAGGCAUUGACCGACGUUGUCCGGGCCCAAUUUCCUUGGAACAGGAAGUCAUGGAGGGUGAGAACCCCGUCUGUGGCUCGGAGCCUUCGUCCUUGUGUCGUGUCCUCGAAGAGUCGGGUUGUUUGGGAAUGCAGCUCAAAAUGGGUGGUAAAUUCCAUCUAAGGCUAAAUAUUGGCGAGAGACCGAUAGCAAACAAGUAGAGUGAUCGAAAGAUGAAAAGUACUUUGAAAAGAGAGUGAAACAGUACGUGAAAUUGUUGAAAGGGAAGCGUUUGGCAUCAGCCCAUGGCGUUCAUCGAUCAUCCAGGCUUCUGCCUGGUGCACUUGAUGGACGUCGGGCCAGCGUCGGCUUUGCCCGCCGGAUAAAGGUCUUGGGGAUGUGGCACCCUUCGGGGUGCGUUAUAACCCUUGACGUCAUGCGGUGUGGUGGGGCCGAGGUCUGCG